GGAGGAGUUCCCGAGUGGCCAAAGGGGGCAGACUGUAAAUCUGUUAGCUACGCUUUCAGUGGUUCGAAUCCACUCUCCUCCA
Filifactor alocis ATCC 35896 is the source of this 82-nucleotide transfer RNA. It matches the Rfam family "tRNA". From Rfam's summary of the family: Transfer RNA (tRNA) molecules are approximately 80 nucleotides in length. The record is from Rfam. Lineage: Bacteria; Bacillati; Bacillota; Clostridia; Peptostreptococcales; Filifactoraceae.